RNAcentral lists this ribosomal RNA (496 nucleotides) under uncultured bacterium. RNAcentral's name for it is "partial 16S ribosomal RNA". It matches the Rfam family "Bacterial small subunit ribosomal RNA", at positions 29 to 507 of the family's 1533-position model. The record is from RNAcentral.
AUGAACGCUGGCGGCGUGCCUAAUCCCUGCCAGUCGAGCGAACAGACGAGGAGCUUGCUCCUCUGACGUUAGCGGCGGACGGGUGAGUAACACGUGGAUAACCUACCUAUAAGACUGGGAUAACUUCGGGAAACCGGAGCUAAUACCGGAUAAUAUAUUGAACCGCAUGGUUCAAUAGUGAAAGACGGUUUUGCUGUCACUUAUAGAUGGAUCCGCGCCGCAUUAGCUAGGUGGUAAGGUAACGGCUUACCAAGGCAACGAUGCGUAGCCGACCUGAGAGGGUGAUCGGCCACACUGGAACUGAGACACGGUCCAGACUCCUACGGGAGGCAGCAGUAGGGAAUCUUCCGCAAUGGGCGAAAGCCUGACGGAGCAACGCCGCGUGAGUGAUGAAGGUCUUCGGAUCGUAAAACUCUGUUAUUAGGGAAGAACAAAUGUGUAAGUAACUAUGCACGUCUUGACGGUACCUAAUCAGAAAGCCACGGCUAACUACGUG